This 253-nucleotide ribosomal RNA is filed under the name uncultured bacterium. Its description in RNAcentral is "partial 16S ribosomal RNA". It matches the Rfam family "Bacterial small subunit ribosomal RNA", at positions 524 to 776 of the family's 1533-position model. The record is from RNAcentral.
UACAGAGGUGGCAAGCGUUGUUCGGAAUUACUGGGCGUAAAGGGCUCGUAGGCGGCCAACUAAGUCGGAUGUGAAAUCCCCAAGCUUAACUUGGGAACUGCAUCCGAUACUGGAUGGCUUGAAUCCGGGAGAGGGAUGCAGAAUUCCAGGUGUAGCGGUGAAAUGCGUAGAUAUCUGGAGGAAUACUGGUGGCGAAGGCGGCAUCCUGGACCGGCAUUGACGCUGAGGAGCGAAAGCUAGGGGAGCAAACGGG